ACGGGGCCCGCACAAGCGGUGGAGCAUGUGGUUUAAUUCGACGCAACGCGCAGAACCUUACCUGGGCUUGACAUCUGCGGAAUCUUCGUGAAAGCGAGGAGUGCCUUCGGGAGCCGCAAGACAGGUGGUGCAUGGUUGUCGUCAGCUCGUGUCGUGAGAUGUUGGGUUAAGUCCCGCAACGAGCGCAACCCUCGCCUCUAGUUGCCAGCAUUCGGUUGGGCACUCUAGAGGGACUGCCGGCGACAAGUCGGAGAAGUGGGGAUGACGUCAAAUCAUCAUGCCCCUUAUGUUCUGGGCUACACACGUGCUACAAUGGCCGGUACAGACGGAGGCGAAGCCGCGAGGCGGAGCAAAACCGAAAAAGCCGGUCUCAGUUCGGAUUGCAGGCUGCAAUUCGCCUGCAUGAAGUCGGAAUCGCUAGUAAUCGCAGGUCAGCAUACUGCGGUGAAUACGUUCCCGGGCCUU
Molecule: ribosomal RNA, 465 nt
Filed under: uncultured Desulfosporosinus sp.
Lineage: Bacteria; Bacillati; Bacillota; Clostridia; Eubacteriales; Desulfitobacteriaceae
Description: bacterial SSU rRNA
Rfam family: Bacterial small subunit ribosomal RNA
Source: RNAcentral